This is an RNA transcript of Danaus plexippus (monarch butterfly), 2437 nucleotides long. RefSeq lists it as uncharacterized. The record is from RefSeq and is a predicted model, not a curated record. The transcript is spliced from 3 exons. Lineage: Eukaryota; Metazoa; Arthropoda; Insecta; Lepidoptera; Nymphalidae.
CAAAAACAUGGAAGUAUAAUUUUCGUAAGAAUGUAUAUUCGCUGUUUUUAUGUAGUGUUAUUGAUAAGGGCUGCUUUGGUCUAUAGAACGUCCACUUGUCUGAAUGAUAAUGAAGAAUACUCGCUCUGUGGCUGGAAAUGUCCGCCGACGUGUGUCAAUUUGAAAUAUCUGGUUAUGCCCGGUGCGGCGUGCUACUUCAAGUGGGAGUGUAAGGUUGGCUGUAGAUGUUCGGCUGGCUUCAUCAGAGAUGAAUACAGCAAGAAGUGUGUCACGGUCCACAUGUGUCCCACCUUCCAGGACUGUCCCCCUGGUGAAGUAAUGGGCAGAAAUCUGCUGUGUAUUCCACGACGGAGCGUUCACUUUAUUAAUUUAUCACAUUGGGAGUACUAUGGAGAAUAUAAUUAAAAAUAUUUUAUGAUGUGAAAUAAAAGGGUUUUAGUUAUAUGUCAGUGAAAAAAAUAAAACAAAUGAGAAAUAAGGUUUUAGGUUACUGUUUGUUGUUUAGUUUCACAUUAUUAAUUUAAUUUAUCAGUGAUAAAAAGUUAAUCCUAGAUACAGAAGCUGUCCCGUAAAGAUUUGUAUAUACGCUGCUAAAUAUAUCCAUUUACCAUUUUCCAAUGUCAUGGAAAUAUUACUUCCCACCUCAUUGUUAUUAUCACUUACCUCAGUAGUUUAUGAACUUAAUCCGUGUUAAAAUUUAUCUGGUGCAAAUGAAAUCCCAAUGUGUUUGGAAAAUGUCGUAGUUUGCAUAUCUUACUAAUUGAAUCCUUUACUAAAUAUAAAAGCAUCUCACAGAAGAAUUAUAAUUAAACAUGUUUAAAAUUCCAUAACAAAAAGAAACUCUUAGUAAUUGUAUGUUUGGAUGUGAUCAUUAAUCAGUAAAAAUAAAUCUAUUUAUAUAUUUUCGAAUAACUACGAGUUUUUUAUUAUUUUAAACUACAUAUUCCCGACGAUUCGGUAACUUAGGUCUUCCCGUGAUCACGGUUGCUGCAUAGUAACUAAACGUCGGGAGUAUGUCAUUUUAGAUGAAAAAAUAACGCGUAAUAAUGCGAAAAUACUAGUUUUGUUUAAAUGAAUAUUCGCGAAAGUCUUAGAUUUCAUUAUUAAUCAGUUUGUUUUUCUAUACAUUUACACUUUCUAUUUAAAUGUAUACAAACAAUAUGCAUACGUGCGAUAGGGCACGCUCUUGAGGUAUAGUUUUUAAUGUGUUACAGUGAUUAUAAAACGUUGUUAUAUAAUUUAUUAGUGAUGUACUUAUAAAAAACUUAUUAUCUAUAUCAAGUGGGAAUUACAAGUAUAUGCUAUAGAAUAUAAAACAGCAUAGUGAUUACUAUUGAAAGAUAGGUGAAUGUAUAAGAGCUUGCGUGAAUUGAAUCCACGUGUUUUUAAUUAAUUCACAAACACUUUAUAUUACUAGGUACUGCAUUUGUUUAUCAUUCCAGUAAAUGAUCGAAAACAAAACAACGAUUGAUUGCUACUGCAAUAUACGUAGUAUCUUCUUUAGAUCAAAAGAUUACAAAGAAAAAAGAUAAGUCUUGAUUGAAAGCGACAAAUACGUUGUUAUUAAUUAUUUAUACUACAUGUAUGCAGGAAUGAAUAUAUUACCAUUCAUUUGAAUAAGUAAAUAUAUUUUAAUAAGAUUUAUAUAUUACCAAGUCCACGUAUUACAAUUUGUAAUUAAAAUUUUUCAAUUUUUGUUCGUCUUGCAACGGUUUUUCCUCAGCCGGUUAAUUGAAUGCGUCACAUCUAUACUGCGAAGCGUGUCGUCAUGUUUGUACACAACAUAUGCGUCAAAGUGUGACGGAACAUGGGUAUAAGAAGCCAAGCCCACCAGCCUGGCCAGGGUUCGGUUCCUACGUGACGUAGACGACGCAGCUGAUAACAUUUGAUUAUAUAAAACCGGGCGCGGUGCUCAGCGUCGCAAAUAAAGCAUAUUGUUUGGACGAAAACAUCGUGAAAAUGGCUUUUAGAAUAUUUUUAUCGCUAGUUUUAACGUGUGGAAUUUUAGUUUGCCAAGCGAGACACAUUCAUCCUGGUAACGAUGGUGGGAAUUUGUAUAGAAUUGAGACUGUUAACGAUGAACCAAUUAACAUACUCCAAACAUUGAAACCGACGAGGUUUGUCCCAUUGAAUUCGCCGCAGUUCUUCAAGAUCUCUGAACCUUGUAAGGACGGCUACAAACGAGACGCCAUGGGUAUAUGUAGAGAGGUGUGGGAUUAACAAACAUAAUAUUAGAAUUAAUUUUUUCAUUAUAAUUGAAGACUUGUGAUAUUAGUUUUAAGAAACUCGUAGUGUUCCUAAGUAAACCAUUUUUAUAUAACCUGCAAACAUUUUCGUUUGUAAAUAGUAUUAUAUAAUAUUGAUUAUGUAUUGAUAAAAUUAUUAUUUAAUAAGUUCUUAAUAAAACAUUAAAAUAUAAACAAUUAUUUAUUAAAAA